GGUCCAGGUGGUGAUUGCGCUCGCUCUCGUCCCAAACGUCGCCACGCGGAGCGGUUCGCACGUCUGCGCGUGCCAGCCGCUCCGUCGCCAUGGUUACCGGACGCCAUGGCGACGGGACGCGUCACCACCUUGAGUCCUACAUUGGCGUGUGAAAGUUUAACGGUGCUUUUUCGGCGCUGGAAGCAGUUUUUUUUAAUGACAAUAGCUUUUCUAGACACGUCUGUUACGGCUGAGUCCUUGUAAUAUGUUCAGGAAUAAUUAUCAGGGCGGAGCCGUGGUGGAAAUCUUCAGUGGCCAAGGAAAAGACCCAGUGGCAAAAUGGAAACUGAGCGGAGGACCAUGUGCCAUUCACAAGGAAUAUAAUAAAGAAGUCAAAGGAUUUGUUUACUGUCUGGAGGGAAGCAGCCAGACAGUCAAGAUGCAAAUACCCCAGAAUGGAAAACUGUCUCUUGGGCUACUUCAAAGGUUCUUGGUCCUUCAGGUGAAUAUUCCACAGUGCAAAGAUUUUUCCAUUGAGCUUGUGAUAACUGAUUCUGAGCACCUAAAAAGACGACUUCACUUAUCAACGGUGCAUAAAGAGCUGUCUGCCACACUUUUUCAUGCAAAGAUACCUUUUGUGGGACUGAAGCGCAACAUUUGGUGUACUUUGUGCAUCGACCUUGUAUCAUUCACUGCUGAGCUGUUCAAGGGAUUUUUGACACUGGAUGGCAUCACUUUGUUUGCUACUUGUAAAGUCCGCAGAAUCUUCACCAUGAAAGCAGAGCCCACAGCUGAUGAUAUGUUUCUCAAUGGAAGUGGCCUCGUGGACCUGAUUCCUCGCAGCUGCCAGUUCUCACCAGAUGUAAGCCACGUAACUCAAAUGUUAAACAUGGAGAAUGUGCGGAUGGCAGAUAUGAGGACUGCUCCUGUGAACUCUGAUUGUGUUCCUGAUCAGUCUGCCGCUGUCAGAUCAAGCAGUUAUCGACGAGCUAGGCCCCAGGCCAAUUCACACACAGCCUCAGGCUCAAGGGCUUCAGGACCACCUCUUCAGACUGGAAAAGCAGGCAGCACAGCUUCAGAUGGAAUGGAGAGUUCACUUUUUAUCACAAAUACGGGAACUACAUCUAUUAGAAUGAAGCAAAAGGGUUCUACUGAAAGUCAGACCAUUGCCAAUCUCAGUGAGAAUGUAUCACAUGGAGAAGCAGGACUCACUCAGCGUGAGGGAACACCUGGCGGUUUGCAGCCCCAACCUCCCAAAGACAGAGUAUUUGACAAGCAGGGAUUAAAGAAGCUGCGGGUCCUCAGUGCUGGAAAAGAGAGGCUGGCAUCACCAGCAGCCUAUUCAGAUGUGGAGCCAGGAGGCCACGGAAAAAGUAGUAAAACCAGUGAGAAGUGCACUUCCUCAUCCAGUAGGCAAGAGAGGAGAGAGCAGCCUAUGACCCUACUGAAAAAGACAGAGCACCACCUAACAGCAGAGGAGCAUGGUUUCAGUGCUGCAAAGGAGAAUUCCAUGGCCGCUCUGACUCCAGCUCAGUCUGUCUCCUGCUCGAUCCGGCGAGGUUUGCCUUCUGACCUGCAGGUCUGGAGCAGCUGGGAGAGUAAUGAGGGGCUCGAGCCUCAGCUCACUCUGCAAGAGGAGGUGUUCACUUUCUCUUCCCAGCCUCACUCACCCAAACGAGGGCAAGGCCACGGUGACCAGCAGAAAAUGGAGAUUGGAGAUGACCAGGUUCAGAACAAAAGCAGGAGGCGACAUGAGGCCAAGCCUGAAGAUGAUUUUAUUGGGAGUGAAAGUGAUGAGGAUGGGAACUGCACAACAUUCCGGCAUCAAAGAACAUGUGUGGAGUCAAACCCUGCUACUCCCACAGCUCUGGAUCCAGCUUUGAAUGUUUUACUUGAAGACCACGUUCAAUCCCACAACAUGGACCAAACAUCAGACGAGCUCAGUGCAACUACAGCUAGAAUUCAGCCUCCACUCAGCAAGAGAGCCGGAGCAGCUGGGAUGGGACCCAAACGCUACCUCCCGCCCAGAGCACGCAGCCCGAGUGGAUCCGUGGUAGCAAACCCGGUUCAGAGCGUAAACAACAGCGUGUCACUUUCUAGGAAGCUGCUGCACGAAGUCCAAUUGGAUGGGUUCCUGCAUCACAAGGAAGAAGGAGAGGAUGAGACACUGAGGACAGCUGCUUCUAGCCCGGACGAGUUUCACCUGCUUGGUAGUCUGCGGAUGCAUGAGGAGGAUGACGAGGAGCUCCAAAUGCUUGCAAGCCUUAAGAGAGAGCAGGAGGAGGAGGAAGAGUGUGGAUCCACUGGCCUCAGUGCAUCUCAGAUCCACCAGUGUAAUGUCAGCAUCAGCAUGAGCUGUGACGACGCCUCAACUUGGACCCACAUCACUCUGCCAGCUAAUCAGGGCCACCACUAUCAAAACGAAAUGAACCCACUCCUUCACUCAAACCCAAGGGAAUGGAUUGAUGUCCUCAGUCCUCCUAUUAUGCCUCCCAGCCAGCGGAGAAGGUCGCCCAGCACACAGAAAAACCAGGAAAAUAUAGUUCCAGGCUGGGUUAAGGCUUCACCCCGGAAUUAUUGCAUCUGUGAUCCUGGUGUCAAUGGCGGCCAUCGCUGCAGCCAUAUUGAUCGUGCGAAAAUACUGCUUCCCAGUUAACGAGGCCACAUACAGAUACUCGUUGCUGAGGCGGAUGGAGGAUCAGGGUUCAGCAGGGACGGAGGGGGAUGGCGACAGGGGUCCCUGCACGGUGGGAGAGGAGUCAGACGAGGAGAUGCUGGAAUAAAAACCUCAGGCCGUGCUGCUGCUGGACCGGAGGCGGGUUUGUUGUCGAUGAAUCGCGUGACUUAAAGGCUGCAGUUAAUGAUUAGGUUCAUUAUGGAUCCUAAAAAUAGUCCGAUCACACAGCUUGUGGUGAUAUAAGCAGAAGGCAUUUUACACAGGGAGGUGUUGGUUUCUGUACUUCUGUGGCUUGAGUUUUAUUAAAUCUGAAAAAUAAACCUAAUGCACUGUAGCUGUGGUGUAAACAGGGAUUUUGGAGCAUGGAACAAACAAUUGUGUGUAAAUAUGAGGAUCUCUCAGCUUGGUCUGCUGUGUUUGUUAAUCUGUCUCUCGGUCCCUCAGGUUUGUGCAAGUGCAAUACAAAUGACUGGCGAGACCCUUAUGAAAGGCUCCAUCCUUUAACAUAGACGCAUACAUAGUGUUUUCCAAGCAACAAUUGCAGCUUAAUAUUAGCUCUAAAAUCAUCUCCGCCAUGAAUAAGUAUUUGCAAUUUGAAGGAUUUGUGCCUUACCAAUAUUUCAGUAUUAGUUCGACUCUUAUAUAAAUGGUUUUCAUGGACGUUUGCCGUAGAUGCAGCUGAGCUUUGCUUAACGCCGUGCUCCGCUCAGCCCGCACCCUUUUUAAAAGGCAUCGCUCCUUUUUUUAUGCUCACGCUAACCAUUUUAAUUAUUUUCUCUUCAGCGUUACACCGGCUCUUUAAUUGACUUCUAGGUGGAGUAAUGUUGCAUGAUAUUUUUGACAACUCCACCUGCUAGGAGUCGUCAUUACUGGAGCACGGGAGUCACAGGAUGCCGAAGACAGCUCAAACUGAUUAAUCAUUCAUCAGAAAUAAUUUCACUAUGCCUUCUGUUAAUUAUUGAUCAACAAAUUAAGCAGUGAAACGAGGUUGUUCUCUCUUCUUGUCAGGGUAAAGUUGCACAUUUUUCAAACAUGUAAUGAAAGAGUUUAUUCUUCGCUUGCUGGUGGUUGAUUUUAAAUGCUUUUGACAACUACUGUCUUGAUUUUAUCUGUGGUGUACUUUCAACACGUAUGUAUAUAGGUUAUGGAAUAAAUAUUCAUCCUGGGCACUGA
RNA transcript from Betta splendens (Siamese fighting fish), 3829 nucleotides. It is a transcript of the gene named CFAP20 domain containing, with no coding region annotated. Lineage: Eukaryota; Metazoa; Chordata; Actinopteri; Anabantiformes; Osphronemidae. The record is from RefSeq and is a predicted model, not a curated record. The transcript has 19 exons.